RNAcentral lists this long non-coding RNA (682 nucleotides) under Mus musculus (house mouse). RNAcentral's name for it is "elncRNA-EC14". Lineage: Eukaryota; Metazoa; Chordata; Mammalia; Rodentia; Muridae. The record is from RNAcentral.
CCACCCUGAUAAGGUGAGAGCCACACUGCUGCUGGCCUUGUUGUUCUGAUGACGAAUAGCCCCACUGCACACAGGCAUGCUAUCCUCCCUACAGCUCAGGGACACAGAGCCCGGGGCCCCCAGGAGGCCGUGGAAAGCCAAGAACAUUUUGCCUGGUUUGGAAAUUUCCUGGAGGGUCGAAAGGAGCAAUCGAGUUAUCUUCGUAGAAUCCGCUUGACAAAAGCCGGUUACCUGUCUCGUCAACAGCAUGAGCAAGAUGGCUGAAGUAAGUCAAAUCACUGUUCCUGAACUCACUUUCAACCCCCCCCCCCCCCAGCACAGAAGUGAACGGCUCCACUCUUCACUGUCCCCGGGAACAAGCGCUGCUAAUACCUAGAACAAUGCUAAGCACCAUUGCUAACCGUUUUGGGACUCACUCGGCAGGUGUUUAUUGAGCACUGACUGUGUGCCUCUCCUGGGUCUCAGAACCGGGGAUGCAAAAUUGAAUAAGUCUUCUGAACAAAGAGGGCUUACAGUGGCAGCGAUUUCCGGCAAUUCAGUACGCUGUGCUUUUGUUGUGUCUCAUUUUACUGAAAGUGUAUUUUUAAAGAAUGUUUGGGAAUUAUAGCCCUACGAUAAAAUAUGUUUUGUUUCACUUCCUUUAUGACAGCAGUGACCUUCUGACCAAAAGCAAAAUUCUGGC